CUGGUUGGUUUUAUGGUAGGGCUUGUGUUUGGUAGAAGAGUGAUAGAGAGAAGAGUGAGUGAGCGAGGAGUGAGUGUGUCUGAGAGUGAUUCAUUCGGAUCGAUCGAGUGUUCAAUUCCAAUGGCAUCAUCCAAUUCCACUCAGCAAGAUGUCAACAAACCUGCCAAGAGAAAACCCGUCUUCACCAAAGUGGAUCAGCUCAAACCCGGAACCAACGGUCACACGUUGGUGGCCAAGGUCUUGUCCUCCGACACCGUCGUGCACAAACCGCGACCUUCCUCUGCCCAUAACAUCAAACCCACUGUCAUCGCCGAGUGCCUCAUCGGCGACGACACCGGCACCAUCAUCUUCACCGCUCGCAACGAACAAGUUGAUUUGAUGAAGGCUGGUUCUACUGUAAUUCUUCGUAAUGCAAAGAUUGACAUGUUCAAGGGAUCAAUGAGGCUGGCUGUUGACAAAUGGGGGCGUGUUGAGGUAACUGAACCUGCAGAUUUUGUAGUUAAAGAGGAUAAUAACCUAUCCCUGGUUGAAUAUGAAUUGGUGAACGUGGUUGAAGAAUAAUCCCAUGGAAGAGAGCAAGGAUAGCUUUAUGAUUUGGUUAUGGUGCAUUGGAUACCCUCAAGUUUCCUGUGCAUCGAUAUACAUAGGUAUGCCUGUGUUUGAGUUAAUGAAGCAGCGCAAUCAUUAUUCAUAGCUUUGGCUUUAUGAAGCAGCGCAAUCAUUAUUCGUAUCUUGGCUCAAAUAAGAGAAGACAGUGGUUAAAAAUUUGGGUUAAAGUCAACAGUCCAUAAUUUCUGUUUCUUCUGCUAAUGAAAUUCAAUGACCACUGUGUCAUUCAUGCUCACAAUAUGUUUUUAUUUUGGUUGUGUACGUCAUAACUUUUUUCCCGUGAUAAAGAAUUUUGUUCACUAUUA
Molecule: RNA transcript, 914 nt
Organism: Vigna unguiculata (cowpea)
Lineage: Eukaryota; Viridiplantae; Streptophyta; Magnoliopsida; Fabales; Fabaceae
Gene name: Nucleic acid-binding, OB-fold-like protein
Source: RefSeq, a predicted model, not a curated record